UAUUGUCGCUGGGGGUGCCAUGUGGCUGAGAAAAAACAAUUAGUUUUUACCCUUUGAACCUGACUUGGUUAAUACCUACGUAGGGAAGUUUAGAAAAGGAUUA
RNAcentral lists this non-coding RNA (103 nucleotides) under Desulfonispora thiosulfatigenes. RNAcentral's name for it is "TPP sequence". It matches the Rfam family "TPP riboswitch aptamer (THI element)". Rfam says of the family: Vitamin B(1) in its active form thiamin pyrophosphate (TPP) is an essential coenzyme that is synthesised by coupling of pyrimidine and thiazole moieties in bacteria. The previously detected thiamin-regulatory element, thi box was extended, resulting in a new, highly conserved RNA secondary structure, the THI element, which is widely distributed in eubacteria and also occurs in some archaea. The record is from RNAcentral. RNAcentral also lists the same sequence under 1 other name. Lineage: Bacteria; Bacillati; Bacillota; Clostridia; Eubacteriales; Peptococcaceae.